This is a non-coding RNA of Peromyscus maniculatus bairdii (prairie deer mouse), 836 nucleotides long. NCBI's taxonomy places the organism in Eukaryota, Metazoa, Chordata, Mammalia, Rodentia, Cricetidae. The record is from RefSeq and is a predicted model, not a curated record.
GUUGACAAUUUCUUGACUUUGGAAUUUUGCUCAUGUCGAAAGAAAGCACCCAAAGGAAGAAGAGAGAGUAAGAUAAAUGUGGGGACAGCAGUGAAAUGUGCCAUUCACUCAAGGCAGUUUAAUGGCCUAAGUUUUGCUACUCAUCACUUCUGUGGCAGCCUCCUCCAGUUCAGCCUGGAUUUGCAAAGGAGAAGGAAGGUAAAGAAAGGGGCAAGUAGCAACCGACACACCCAGAUUCUUCAUUCAGCACCAAGGGGUGGAGGUUCGUGAUUGCCACUACGGAUGCCACAUGGAUAGAAUCGUUUGGUUCCUGUUCCCUGACCUAUUCAUGCUAGCACCACUGGGUUCACGGUACCAACUCCACGGGGAAGAGGAGGAUAUACGGAUGCCAGAUGGAGGAGCCCUUUGGUCCUUAGUAGAUGCCCCCUUAUAAACCAACUCUUGGCAACCAGGCGUACUAGAGAGUGGUGGGACGCCCUGAAGUCCUGCUUAGAGGCUUGACCAAUCUCCACCGUGGAAAUGUCUUCUUCAUGGCUGAUUACAAACGACUGAUGACUUAGGAACUGGCCUCUGAAAAAAGGAACACGAAGGUCCAAUUUAAAUAAAAGCUGCCUCCGGAAGGCCUUAUUGGGGUCCUUUCGCCCCCUCUCUGUAAAAAGAAGUGGACACUGGCUACACACCUCCUAGAAUGUGAGUCUCAGGGACCAUCAGCAUGGAGAAAUACCACAGUCUAUCCCAGUACCACGCGGAGAGUGUUUGGCAGUGAAAGAACACAGGAUUCAGGAUUCAGGGCAGCAGCUCUGGUGACACUGGACUCUACGGACAUCCACGGAUGA